Non-coding RNA from Tephrocybe rancida, 102 nucleotides. The record is from the annotation of a GenBank genome assembly. NCBI's taxonomy places the organism in Eukaryota, Fungi, Basidiomycota, Agaricomycetes, Agaricales, Lyophyllaceae.
UCUAUGCUGGUAUAUCGGUAGUACACGCGCCCGUCAUCCCUUGGUUCCCAACCCAUCCUCGUGGUUGCGCGAGAGCUGGGUUCGACUCCCAGGCAGAGAGAU